This 253-nucleotide ribosomal RNA is filed under the name uncultured bacterium. RNAcentral describes it as "partial 16S ribosomal RNA". It matches the Rfam family "Bacterial small subunit ribosomal RNA", at positions 524 to 776 of the family's 1533-position model. The record is from RNAcentral.
UACAGGGGGGGCAAGCGUUGUUCGGAAUUACUGGGCGUAAAGGGUUCGUAGGUGGCCAACUUAGUCAGACGUGAAAUCCCUCAGCUUAACUGGGGAACUGCGUCUGAUACUGGAUGGCUUGAGUGCAGGAGAGGAACGCGGAAUUCCAGGUGUAGCGGUGAAAUGCGUAGAUAUCAGGAGGAAUACCGAUGGCGAAGGCAGGUCUCUGGGCUAUAACUGACGCUCAUGCACGAAAGCGUGGGGAGCAAACAGG